Non-coding RNA from Lyophyllum atratum, 82 nucleotides. The record is from the annotation of a GenBank genome assembly. NCBI's taxonomy places the organism in Eukaryota, Fungi, Basidiomycota, Agaricomycetes, Agaricales, Lyophyllaceae.
AGCAGCAUGGCGCAGUUGGAAGCGCGCGGGGCCCAUACCACAUGAAACCCCGAGGUCACUUGAUCGAAACAAGUUGCUGCUA